GCGCCCGUAGCUCAGCUGGAUAGAGCGCGACACUACGGAUGUCGAGGUCAUGGGUUCGAAUCCUUUCGGGCGCGCCA
This 77-nucleotide transfer RNA is filed under the name Alphaproteobacteria bacterium. RNAcentral's name for it is "tRNA-Arg". It matches the Rfam family "tRNA". From Rfam's summary of the family: Transfer RNA (tRNA) molecules are approximately 80 nucleotides in length. Their secondary structure includes four short double-helical elements and three loops (D, anti-codon, and T loops). Lineage: Bacteria; Pseudomonadati; Pseudomonadota; Alphaproteobacteria. RNAcentral also lists the same sequence under 1 other name. The record is from RNAcentral.